UUUCAUUCAUGUGAGAAAAUAGUUAUAUGGAUGUGAACUAAUAGCAAUUAAUUGCUCAUUUAUCCGAUUAAUUACUCGAUUAGUCAAUUUAACAUCCAGAAAUCAAUUAUUAUCGAAAUAAAUGUCGAUUUCCACUAACACAAAUAAUCCCAACACAAUGGAAAUAUUUUUAUCAACAAUUUCAUCUUUAAUAAACACGAACUUAUUCAUCAUUAAUACUAUAACUCACAAUAUUUAACAACCAGAUCAUUCCCAGGAAAGAGGGGGCUUUCCGAUAAGGAUUUCUCCCUAUUGGCGCGCAAUUAGGUGACAAAAUCACUUUUCUCGACAGAACUUUCUAAAAAUUGUCAAUAAUGUAAAUAAUAAUAUGAAUAACUUU
This 379-nucleotide long non-coding RNA is filed under the name Panax ginseng (ginseng). RNAcentral describes it as "long non-coding RNA (PGIN_LNC013466)". Lineage: Eukaryota; Viridiplantae; Streptophyta; Magnoliopsida; Apiales; Araliaceae. The record is from RNAcentral.